RNAcentral lists this ribosomal RNA (242 nucleotides) under uncultured Lactobacillus sp. RNAcentral's name for it is "partial 16S ribosomal RNA". It matches the Rfam family "Bacterial small subunit ribosomal RNA", at positions 120 to 355 of the family's 1533-position model. The record is from RNAcentral. Lineage: Bacteria; Bacillati; Bacillota; Bacilli; Lactobacillales; Lactobacillaceae.
GGUAGACUGCCCAAGAGAUCGGGAUAACACCUGGAAACAGAUGCUAAUACCGGAUAACAACAGAUGAUGCCUAUCAACUGUUUAAAAGAUGGUUCUGCUAUCACUCUUGGAUGGACCUGCGGUGCAUUAGCUAGUUGGUAGGGUAACGGCCUACCAAGGCGAUGAUGCAUAGCCGAGUUGAGAGACUGAUCGGCCACAUUGGGACUGAGACACGGCCCAAACUCCUACGGGAGGCAGCAGUU